RNAcentral lists this ribosomal RNA (309 nucleotides) under uncultured bacterium. Its description in RNAcentral is "bacterial SSU rRNA". It matches the Rfam family "Bacterial small subunit ribosomal RNA", at positions 28 to 334 of the family's 1533-position model. The record is from RNAcentral.
GACGAACGCUGGCGGCGCGCCUAACACAUGCAAGUCGAACGAGCGAGAGAGAGCUUGCUUUCUCGAGCGAGUGGCGAACGGGUGAGUAACGCGUGAGGAACCUGCCUCAAAGAGGGGGACAACAGUUGGAAAUGGCUGCUAAUACCGCAUAAGCGCACAGUGCCGCAUGGCAGUGUGUGAAAAACUCCGGUGGUAUGAGAUGGAUCCGCGUCUGAUUAGCCAGUUGGCGGGGUAACGGCCCACCAAAGCGACGAUCAGUAGCCGGCCUGAGAGGGCGACCGGCCACAUUGGGACUGAGACACGGCCCAA